This is a non-coding RNA of Musa acuminata subsp. malaccensis (wild Malaysian banana), 2273 nucleotides long. The record is from RefSeq and is a predicted model, not a curated record. NCBI's taxonomy places the organism in Eukaryota, Viridiplantae, Streptophyta, Magnoliopsida, Zingiberales, Musaceae.
CCCGGAAUACGACACGAUCUGGUCGGUAGGGCUGCUCCCGGCUCCAGAGGAGGCGAUAGAGAAGGAAAAGCCGACGAGAGAGGGGCGAGAGAGAGAGAGAGAGAGAGAAGUGACGGGAAGGGAAGGAAGGCGACCACGCUUCCUUUUCCGAUUUCUUUCUUCUCUGUUUUUGAUCUAAUCUUAGGAAGAAGAAGCAUCGUUGACGCUUUUGAUCCAUCGUUCGCUCCCUCCCUCCGUUUGUUGAUCCUAGAAUCGGAACGAGAGGAGUGCUUUCGAUGGCGCCGGGGCAGGGAACGCAGCAGCAGUUCCGGUAUACGCAGACGCCAUCGAAGGUGCUGCACGUCCGGAACCUGCCGUGGGACAGCGCCGAGGAGGAGCUCGUCGCCCUGUGCAGGCCAUUCGGCAAGAUCGUCAACACCAUGUGCAACGUCGGCGCCAACAAGAACCAGGCCUUUGUAGAAUUCGCUGAUCUUAACCAAGCAAUUUCAAUGGUGUCAUACUAUGCUUCUUCAUCCGAGCCUGCCCAAGUUCGUGGAAAAACUGUCUAUAUCCAGUAUUCUAAUAGGCAAGAAAUUACGAAUAACAAGAGUACUGGAGAUGUUCCUGGGAAUGUCUUGCUGGUCACUAUUGAAGGUGUUGAAUCUGGGGAUGUCAGCAUUGAUGUGAUUCAUUUGGUGUUCUCUGCUUUUGGGUUUGUGCAUAAAAUUGCAACAUUUGAAAAAUCUGCUGGCUUUCAGGCACUAAUCCAGUACACAGAUGCGGAGACUGCUGCAAGUGCAAGAAAUGCAUUGGACGGAAGAAGCAUUCCUAGGUACUUACUACUUGAACACAUUACAACUUGCCAUUUGCGGAUCACAUAUUCGGCCCAUACAGAUUUAAGUAUAAAGUUCCAGUCACAUCGUAGCAGGGACUACACAAAUCCCUUUCUUCCUGUGAACCCUUCAGCAAUUGAGGGUUCUGUACAGCCACUGCUUGGUCCUGAUGGAGUGAAAAAGGAGACUGAAAGUAAUGUCCUUUUGGCUUCCAUAGAGAAUAUGCAAUAUGCUGUGACAGUUGAUGUUCUACAUACAGUCUUCUCCACCUUUGGAACUGUGCAGAAGAUUGCAAUUUUUGAGAAAAAUGGUGGCAUGCAAGCAUUGAUACAAUAUCCUGAUGUGACAACUGCUUCAAUUGCCAAGGAAGCUUUGGAGGGACACUGCAUUUAUGAUGGUGGUUAUUGUAAGCUUCAUUUGACAUAUUCUCGUCAUACUGAUCUCAGUGUUAAGGUGCAUAAUGAUAGAGGCAGAGACUACACUGUUCAGGACACUGGUGUACUAAUGACGUCCCAAGCUCCUAGUUUGCCGACCACUACUGGUUGGCAAGUUCAUCCUCAAUCUACAACCACAUAUAUUGGCAAUGAUUUCACAGCUACAGGACAAGUGACAGUUCCGCAUGGCCAAGUGACGACAUGGAAUCCUAGCUUGUCAAGUGGAAGCUUUGCCUCAGCUUCUAACAUGUUCCCCAGUCAGACAUUUGCAACACCUGUUUCCCAUUACCCAGUUUCAACCGUUUCCAGUGCUCCUUCUGGGCUGUUUCAAGCUUCACAGGAGUCAUCUCAAUAUGGUCUUCUGGCAAAUGCACAGCCUGCUGCUGCACCAACCACCCAGCCUCCAUACUACACUACAUAAGCUGCAUCUUCUCAUUUUUUUUAGGCCUCUGGACUCCACAAGUGAAGCUGCCUUGGACAUUUUCAAUAUUCACUCUACCGUCCUGUGCUCUUUCUCAACUUCACCCUCACCUUUAAAUGGACCUCUAAGAUACAGAACUUUGGAGCUGUAGGAAAAUUUCUUAGUAGGAGCCUUAUUAGCUACUCAAUCGUACAACAAUUUGUUUCUUAGGUUGUUUUGCAGAGAAGGAUCGAAGCUGCACUUGAACCAGAAGCAGUAGCUUUGACAUAUCAUCGAGUCUGGAUUAGAGUCGACAAAUUGGUGCGGCUUGCUCGUGAUCUCGAAGCCUCAUUCGUUUCCAUUGUUGACACUAGAAGAUGAUACAGCCGAAGUCCGAAGAAUCCAGCGGUAAACCAAGCUCAUCUUUAACGCUUUAGGGAGAAACCUUUUAUGUCGCAUCUUCUCAUGAUUUCCUCACCUAUAUGCAGUGUUGCGUUCUGCAGUAGCAAUGAAAUGAAGUAUAAUUUCAUUGAUCACAGGAAUGAAUCCUUUACGCUGACCCCAACCAGUUUACAUUUCCUCCCUCCUGUAUGUCAAACUAAAUGCACCAAGAACGACACCAACACA